GGAUGUGAGGGGGAUCUGGCUGCGACAUCUGUCACCCCAUGGAUCACCGGGGUUGAUUGGGCAGAUCUGGCUGGCUAGGCGGGUGUCCCCUUCCGCCCUCACGGCUCCAUGUGCGUCCUCCCUGAGGCUGCGCCCUCGGUUGAAGAGGACGGCCUUCCCUGUUAGAGGAGGACCGUUCUUCUGUCAAGAGUAUACGAGUAGCCGGGCUCCCCUUGCUAGAACCUCCGAACAAGCUCUCAACGUCCGUUUGUAGGAGAACGUGAAGUAGGCAAGUUUCCAAGACCCCAGACAUAUUAAAAAGAAAAAAAAAAUUU
Molecule: small nuclear RNA, 314 nt
Filed under: Ailuropoda melanoleuca (giant panda)
Lineage: Eukaryota; Metazoa; Chordata; Mammalia; Carnivora; Ursidae
Description: 7SK RNA
Rfam family: 7SK RNA
About the family: 7SK was discovered as an abundant small nuclear RNA in the mid-70s but a possible function has only recently been suggested. Two independent studies have found that 7SK RNA binds the CDK9/cyclin T complex (known as elongation factor P-TEFb).
Source: Rfam by way of RNAcentral